RNAcentral lists this ribosomal RNA (421 nucleotides) under uncultured eukaryote. RNAcentral describes it as "bacterial SSU rRNA". It matches the Rfam family "Eukaryotic small subunit ribosomal RNA", at positions 592 to 1018 of the family's 1831-position model. The record is from RNAcentral.
CAAUAGCGUAUAUUAAAGUUGUUGCAGUUAGAACGCUCGUAGUCGGAUUUCGGGGCGGGCCGACCGGUCUGCCGAUGGGUAUGCACUGGUCGGCGCGUCCUUCCUUCCGGAGACCGUGCCUACUCUUAACUGAGCGGGGGCGGGAGACGGAUCGUUUACUUUGAAAAAUCAGAGUGUUUCAAGCAGGCAGCUCGCUCUUGCAUGGAUUAGCAUGGGAUAAUGAAAUAGGACUUUGGUGCUAUUUUGUUGGUUUCGAACACCGAAGUAAUGAUUGAUAGGGACAGUUGGGGGUGCUGGUAUUAUAUGGCCAGAGGUGAAAUUCUCAGAUUCAUGUAAGACCAACUCAUGCGAAAGCAUUCACCAAGGAUGUCUUCUUUAAUCAAGAACGAAAGUAGGGGGAUCGAAGACGAUUAGAUACCGU